RNAcentral lists this long non-coding RNA (258 nucleotides) under Oryza brachyantha (malo sina). RNAcentral describes it as "long non-coding RNA (OBRA_LNC000806)". Lineage: Eukaryota; Viridiplantae; Streptophyta; Magnoliopsida; Poales; Poaceae. The record is from RNAcentral.
GCGAGGAUGGCGUGCGGGUUCGGCGACGGGCGGGUGGUGUGGACGCGUAGCCCGUCGGCGUCGGCGCCGGAGCUCUCAUAAUUAGCGUUUUGUCGAUCAAACUCGGACAGGAGUCAAGAGGGUAGUCCUUGUAACAGCUGCCUUGUCUUUUACUUGUACAUUACUGUGAUAAUUACUUUUCCUUGUUCAUUACUGUGAUAAUUACUUGAAGAUUGUUCAUUUCAAUUGCUAUAAUUAGUUGAAGCUGGUUUAUUUUCA